This 253-nucleotide ribosomal RNA is filed under the name uncultured bacterium. RNAcentral's name for it is "partial 16S ribosomal RNA". It matches the Rfam family "Bacterial small subunit ribosomal RNA", at positions 524 to 776 of the family's 1533-position model. The record is from RNAcentral.
UACGUAGGGGGCAAGCGUUGUCCGGAAUCAUUGGGCGUAAAGCGCGUGUAGGCGGUUCGGUAAGUCGGCUGUGAAAGUCCAGGGCUCAACCCUGGGAUGCCGGUCGAUACUGCCGGGCUGGAGUCCGGAAGAGGCGAGUGGAAUUCCUGGUGUAGCGGUGAAAUGCGCAGAUAUCAGGAGGAACACCAAUGGCGAAGGCAGCUCGCUGGGACGGUACUGACGCUGAGACGCGAAAGCGUGGGGAGCAAACAGG